RNAcentral lists this ribosomal RNA (727 nucleotides) under Bacillus sp. B940. RNAcentral describes it as "bacterial SSU rRNA". It matches the Rfam family "Bacterial small subunit ribosomal RNA", at positions 44 to 752 of the family's 1533-position model. Lineage: Bacteria; Bacillati; Bacillota; Bacilli; Caryophanales; Bacillaceae. The record is from RNAcentral.
UAGUCAUAAUACAUGCUAGUCGAGCGAAUCUGAGGGAGCUUGCUCCCAAAGAUUAGCGGCGGACGGGUGAGUAACACGUGGGCAACCUGCCUGUAAGACUGGGAUAACUUCGGGAAACCGGAGCUAAUACCGGAUAAUCCCUUUCCUCACAUGAGGAAAGGCUGAAAGACGGCUUCUAGCUGUCACUUACAGAUGGGCCCGCGGCGCAUUAGCUAGUUGGUGAGGUAACGGCUCACCAAGGCCACGAUGCGUAGCCGACCUGAGAGGGUGAUCGGCCACACUGGGACUGAGACACGGCCCAGACUCCUACGGGAGGCAGCAGUAGGGAAUCUUCCGCAAUGGACGAAAGUCUGACGGAGCAACGCCGCGUGAGUGAUGAAGGUUUUCGGAUCGUAAAACUCUGUUGUUAGGGAAGAACAAGUAUCGGAGUAACUGCCGGUACCUUGACGGUACCUAACCAGAAAGCCACGGCUAACUACGUGCCAGCAGCCGCGGUAAUACGUAGGUGGCAAGCGUUGUCCGGAAUUAUUGGGCGUAAAGCGCGCGCAGGUGGUUCCUUAAGUCUGAUGUGAAAGCCCACGGCUCAACCGUGGAGGGUCAUUGGAAACUGGGGAACUUGAGUGCAGAAGAGGAAAGUGGAAUUCCAAGUGUAGCGGUGAAAUGCGUAGAGAUUUGGAGGAACACCAGUGGCGAAGGCGACUUUCUGGUCUGUAACUGACACUGAGGC